UUUUCUUUUCUCUUAUCCAAGCAAAACCUGUGCAUGCACAAAAUCAUACAUAAACCCCACACUGGAGUCCUCAUCAAAUACUCCAAUGGGGUAUCAUCAUCAUACAUAUCAGCUUGGAUAAUCAUGGUCAUUAACAUCAUUACUCAUUAAUCACUCUGUACAUAAUGGGGAUUCACACACCUCUAGGUCAAGCACUACUAUAAUCCUCAAUACAUUAUCAAAUCAUUCAUUACAUUACAUGGUCAUAAAUACUCGUUACAUCAUGUUCAUGUCCACUACUAUCUAUUACAACAUACAAGACUUAACUUCACUCUAGCCGACUUCCCGAUCUAUCCUAUACCUGCAACUCUGGGGAUAAAGGGAGUGGGGUGAGCUACUAGAGCCCAGUGAGCAGAAUAAUAAGACAUCAAUUAAAAUCAUGCUUUCAUGUAUGCGCCAUAACACAAACAUUUCACAACAAGGAUGAACU
RNAcentral lists this long non-coding RNA (469 nucleotides) under Manihot esculenta (cassava). RNAcentral describes it as "long non-coding RNA (MESC_LNC007451)". Lineage: Eukaryota; Viridiplantae; Streptophyta; Magnoliopsida; Malpighiales; Euphorbiaceae. The record is from RNAcentral.